Molecule: RNA transcript, 1713 nt
Organism: Magnolia sinica
Lineage: Eukaryota; Viridiplantae; Streptophyta; Magnoliopsida; Magnoliales; Magnoliaceae
Gene name: G-type lectin S-receptor-like serine/threonine-protein kinase At4g03230
Exons: 4
Source: RefSeq, a predicted model, not a curated record
UUUGUGUUGCAAUCGGUGAAGAGUCACCACCAUGUUCUAAAUGAUGCAAAACUAACAUAGGAGUGUUGUAGACAUUUUCCAGUGAUGUUUCCAAAUUUCAUACGAAAUUGACACUUUAGACCUUACUUUAUAUCAAAUGGUGACUAAUCCAUACCGUUGGUCUGAACUAUACCACUGUGGAUGGAUCAUUAUAAAAAAUCAUUUCAGGUUGUGAGGUCCUAGAUCCAUGAAUAUAAAAGAGGUCCUAGAUUAGUUGAAUAUAGACAAUUGUGCUUUUUUAAUUGACCAUCUGUUAACCAUUUUGGAAUAUUGAGAGAGAAAAAAGAGGAAAGUUUUUUAGAAGGAUGACUAUGUCCAUAGGUAAAUACACCUGGGUUUUAUAUAUGUUAUGGACCUUUAUCCCCAAUUUUUCAGCCUUUUAUCUUUGUUUCAUGCUUUCUUUAUUUGCCCCUUACUCUUCCUUUAGUUUUUCCUUAAUAUAAGGCAUAAUAUGUAAUUUUACAUUUUCUUCUAAUAUUAUAAAUAAGAGUGGGCUGGACAUUCCAGCCCCAUAUGCUCUUUUUCUCUCAAAUUCUCUCCUGCUUCUUAACAUGGUAUUAGAGCCUAUGGGCUCCUAGGAUUUCUUUUUCUUCUUAUGCUUCUUAACAUGGCCUGAUUUUUUUUUUUUUUCCGUCCCUUACAUCUUCAAGUAUCAUACAAUUUACCAUGCAAUGCCAAGACUGUUUUCAGUUUGUAGAACUGGGGUCCAUCAUACAGGGUCAGAAUCAUUGAGAUUUGGGGCCCUACUAUAGCAAAUAUCUCCAGUUUCUAUUUCCACAUUUAUUUAUUGCUUUACAAAUAGGCUUUAGUUCAAAAAUAAUUUUUUUAGUUGUUAAGUAAUAAGAACUCAUGUUAGGAAGCUUUGUUAGGCCCAGUGUGUAUUCAGGUCACUUGACAUAGUUGGCAUGGAUCACUCAAGGGCUUCUUUAUCUUCACCGGUACUUGAGAUUAAGAGUCAAUCAUAGAGAUCUAAAGGCCAGCAACAUUCUUUUAGAUAGUGAAAUGAACCUGAAAAUAUCAAACUUUGGUUUGGCGAGGAUUUUCAGUGGAAAUCAAACCCAAGGAAACACUGCUAGAGUAGUGGGGACAUUGGUCUUUUCUCAGAGAAAUCCGAUGUAUUUAGCUUUGGAGUAUUAUUAUUAGAAAUCGUAAGCGGGAAGCGGAACACUGGAUUUUUGCCUAAUGAACAGUGGUCAAAUCUUCUAGGAUAUAUGCAUUGAGGUCGGAAAGCCUCAAGCUUGUGCAACCCAGCUCUCUUACAAUCCAACACAGGCCUGGAUAGAAGGUGUGCAAUAUCCAAGCUUUCCAUUAGGUGGUUCCCCACUUCUUGAUGCCACGGUCCAAAAAUCAGGCAAGUCCACUCCAUGUAAGGAUCGCCAAAAGCAAGGGCCCCACACCCUUGGCUUAUUAUUAUUAUUUUUAUUUUUCUUACCAAUCUUCAUUGCUUCAAUAUAACGAAGGGUUUCCAUAAUGUUUGACUUGUAUUAUGUAUUUAUCUUUGGUUGUAAGAUGCUUAUUCAAAGUGGAAGUAACUAUAUAGAGUGUAGGCUCAGGGGUCUACAAUGCUUACAUGGAUGCAUGAACAAAGCUGCUCAUCAGUUUUAUCCUUGAAGAAAAAGGGAAGAAAAAUCUGUCCACAUAUUUAUAUAAAAAAAUUCCAUAGCUAUUCUCCUC